Molecule: ribosomal RNA, 433 nt
Filed under: uncultured bacterium
Lineage: Bacteria
Description: partial 16S ribosomal RNA
Rfam family: Bacterial small subunit ribosomal RNA
Source: RNAcentral
AGCGAACGCUGGCGGCAGGCUUAACACAUGCAAGUCGAGCGGGCACUUCGGUGUCAGCGGCAGACGGGUGAGUAACACGUGGGAACGUACCCUUUGGUUCGGAAUAACGCCGGGAAACUCGCGCUAAUACCGGAUACGCCCUUUUGGGGAAAGGCUUGCUGCCGAAGGAUCGGCCCGCGUCUGAUUAGCUAGUUGGUGGGGUAAUGGCCUACCAAGGCGACGAUCAGUAGCUGGUCUGAGAGGAUGAUCAGCCACACUGGGACUGAGACACGGCCCAGACUCCUACGGGAGGCAGCAGUGGGGAAUAUUGGACGAUGGGCGCAAGCCUGAUCCUGCCAUGCCGCGUGAGUGAUGAAGGCGUUAGGGUUGUAAAGCUCUUUUGUCCGGGACGAUAAUGACGGUACCGGAAGAAUAAGCCCCGGCUAACUUCGUG